Molecule: unclassified non-coding RNA, 535 nt
Filed under: soil metagenome
Description: partial contains internal transcribed spacer 1, 5.8S ribosomal RNA, internal transcribed spacer 2, and large subunit ribosomal RNA
Rfam family: 5.8S ribosomal RNA (bases 151-304)
Source: RNAcentral
CCGAGUUAUACAACUCAUCAACCCUGUGAACAUACCUAAAACGUUGCUUCGGCGGGAACAGACGGCCCUGUAACAACGGGCCGCCCCCGCCAGAGGACCCCUAACUCUGUUUUUAUAAUGUUUUUCUGAGUAAACAAGCAAAUAAAUUAAAACUUUCAACAACGGAUCUCUUGGCUCUGGCAUCGAUGAAGAACGCAGCGAAAUGCGAUAAGUAAUGUGAAUUGCAGAAUUCAGUGAAUCAUCGAAUCUUUGAACGCACAUUGCGCCCGCCAGUAUUCUGGCGGGCAUGCCUGUUCGAGCGUCAUUACACCCUCAGGCCCCCGGGCCUGGCGUUGGGGAUCGGCGGAAGCCCCCUGUGGGCACACGCCGUCCCUCAAAUACAGUGGCGGUCCCGCCGCAGCUUCCAUUGCGUAGUAGCUAACACCUCGCAACUGGAGAGCGGCGCGGCCAUGCCGUAAAACACCCAACUUCUGAAUGUUGACCUCGAAUCAGGUAGGAAUACCCGCUGAACUUAAGCAUAUCAAUAAGCGGAGGA